AAAUAAUUAGAAUAUGCUAAGGAAAUACCAUCCAAUAUAUAUAGGCAUGCGCCAUCUCAAGAUGACUAAUGAUAUUAUAUACUAACUCAAAGACAAACCAACUACCAUAAUCCUAGUUUAGAAAGGUACAUCAUAAAAAUGAGGGCUUCAAAAAAAAAUCCAAUAAAACUAAAUGCAGGUAAAUAGGAUUUUCAGUUAAAA
Molecule: unclassified non-coding RNA, 201 nt
Filed under: Hevea brasiliensis (rubber tree)
Lineage: Eukaryota; Viridiplantae; Streptophyta; Magnoliopsida; Malpighiales; Euphorbiaceae
Source: RNAcentral